RNAcentral lists this long non-coding RNA (378 nucleotides) under Cyanistes caeruleus (blue tit). RNAcentral describes it as "lncRNA (ENSCCEG00000008685.1)". Lineage: Eukaryota; Metazoa; Chordata; Aves; Passeriformes; Paridae. The record is from RNAcentral.
CCUGGAAAAAGAAUACACCAGUACAGAGAUGACUCUUCUAUGCCUGCAGGUAGCUUCUGCCCUGUCAAUUGGCAAGUGUGGCUCAGUAAGUGUCUUAUCUGGAAUUCAUUUACAGAGCUCAUGAAGCAAAAAAUUCAGAUAUGGAGCCUAAAAAGCAGUACAUGUGCCUUGUUCUGGCACCAGAUGAGGAAGAACAGCAGUCAAGUGCUGGCCCCCAGAUGCCCCACAGUCCCUUGCAGCUGCAGAAGACAAGAAAACCUUAAUGACGACUUCUCAUGUUGUCUUUCCAUCAUGGCUGCAAGGAGUCAGAGAAAAUUAGCACUCAGAAUCAGAUGCUACAUUCAUUUCUCAAAUGUUACACAAGUGUUUUUCAAAUAA